Molecule: ribosomal RNA, 402 nt
Filed under: uncultured bacterium
Lineage: Bacteria
Description: bacterial SSU rRNA
Rfam family: Bacterial small subunit ribosomal RNA
Source: RNAcentral
GGGGAAUAUUGGGCAAUGGGCGCAAGCCUGACCCAGCAACGCCGCGUGAAGGAAGAAGGCUUUCGGGUUGUAAACUUCUUUUGUCAGGGACGAAUCAAUGACGGUACUUGACGAAUAAGCCACGGCUAACUACGUGCCAGCAGCCGCGGUAAUACGUAGGUGGCAAGCGUUAUCCGGAUUUACUGGGUGUAAAGGGCGUGUAGGCGGGACUGCAAGUCAGGCGUGAAAACCAGAGGCCCAACCUCUGGCCUGCGUUUGAAACUGUAGUUCUUGAGUGCUGGAGAGGCAAUCGGAAUUCCGUGUGUAGCGGUGAAAUGCGUAGAUAUACGGAGGAACACCAGUGGCGAAGGCGGAUUGCUGGACAGUAACUGACGCUGAGGCGCGAAAGCGUGGGGAGCAAAC